This 124-nucleotide ribosomal RNA is filed under the name Vibrio parahaemolyticus. RNAcentral describes it as "partial 16S ribosomal RNA". It matches the Rfam family "Bacterial small subunit ribosomal RNA", at positions 1 to 104 of the family's 1533-position model. Lineage: Bacteria; Pseudomonadati; Pseudomonadota; Gammaproteobacteria; Vibrionales; Vibrionaceae. The record is from RNAcentral.
CUUAAAUUGAAGAGUUUGAUCAUGGCUCAGAUUGAACGCUGGCGGCAGGCCUAACACAUGCAAGUCGAGCGGAAACGAGUUAUCUGAACCUUCGGGGGACGAUAACGGCGUCGAGCGGCGGACG